GUGCCCAGCUCCUCAGGGGCUGAGUUCUGGGGCUGUGCUUUGCCCUGGGUGAUGCCCGGGCAGGGAAUGCCCCACACAAGGUGGAGAUCACCUCCCUGCUGCCACGUGGGUGGCUGUCUGACCAGGAGAGGAGGCAGAAAGGUGCCCAGCUGGCACUUGUCACUUCUGCCUGCAGGCAUCACGGACGUGUCACUGGCACAGCAAAAGGGGAACAAUGUUCUUUUUGGCUGGAUCAGGCUGUUUUCUCUCUCCAAGUACCACAGGCUGACAUGAGGUGCUGCUGAACACUCAGUCUGGUUUAUCUUUGCCUCGGUGAACAAGGGGGAAAGGCACUUUUUUUAAUUAUAAAGAAAGUGUUUGUAGUCUUUCGUGCUGGCAGAGCCUUGGCAACAGAUCUGGUGUGCAAGGUAUAUUUUGACUUGGUUUAGUGUCUCUCUCAGGCUGCUGAUGGCUCUCCUGCAUCUCCCAUCCAGCCCUCCAGGACUUGUCCUGCAGCCAGCGAGGAUCCAGGUCGGUGCUGGGGAGCAGGGACUGUGCUGCCAUGGGGGUCUCCACUGCAGUCCUGCCUCUGCAGCCAAAGCAGAUGAGGGCAGUGCCCUCUGAAGCAGGAGGACACCUCUGUGUGGGCCAGUGUCCUUGGAUGAGGGAGAACGGGAGGAGAAGAGGGCCAAGGCACCCCUGGAGAAGUCCUGCAGGCUCCCAGCUUGCCAUUUGUGCCAGCCUGGUGAGUUCAAGGGUUUGAUGGCUGCUGGUGGUGUGAGGUUUAUAUGAGGUUUCUCCAGGGCCAAGCUCUUCCAUUUGAUGCCCCUGGGAUGCGGGCAGCACGUGCUGUGUCCUGCUCGCAGGAGAUGGGGAGGCUUUGCAGCAAUGCCCAGCUGCUGGGCGGGCAGCAGGAGCCAGCAGCACCCCACAGGAGCCUGCACGGGACUGCAGGAGGAGGCUGCAGGCUGGAGAGGGUUGGGUUGGACUCGAUGACCUUGAAGGUCUCUUCCAACCCAGUCAUUCUGUGAGUUCUGUUCAGCUGGGGUUGGGCUCUUUCACCAGGCAGCACUGACAGAACCAGAGGACACGGUCUCCAGGUGUGCCAAGGGAAAUAUAGGUUGGA
This is a non-coding RNA of Taeniopygia guttata (zebra finch), 1105 nucleotides long. Lineage: Eukaryota; Metazoa; Chordata; Aves; Passeriformes; Estrildidae. The record is from RefSeq and is a predicted model, not a curated record.